RNAcentral lists this ribosomal RNA (253 nucleotides) under uncultured bacterium. RNAcentral's name for it is "partial 16S ribosomal RNA". It matches the Rfam family "Bacterial small subunit ribosomal RNA", at positions 524 to 776 of the family's 1533-position model. The record is from RNAcentral.
UACGGGGGGGGUAAGCGUUGUUCGGAAUUACUGGGCGUAAAGGGCUCGUAGGCGGUGUGUCACGUCGGCCGUGAAAACCUGCAGCUUAACUGUGGGCGUGCGGGCGAUACGGGCAGACUGGAGUACUGCAGGGGAGACUGGAAUUCCUGGUGUAGCGGUGGAAUGCGCAGAUAUCAGGAGGAACCCCGGUGGCGAAAGCGGGUCUCUGGGCAGUAACUGACGCUGAGGAGCGAAAGCGUGGGGAGCGAACAGG